RNAcentral lists this ribosomal RNA (1385 nucleotides) under metagenome. Its description in RNAcentral is "bacterial SSU rRNA". It matches the Rfam family "Bacterial small subunit ribosomal RNA". The record is from RNAcentral.
GUGGCGAACGGGUGAGUAAAGUAUCGGAACGUACCUUUCAGUGGGGGAUAACGUAGCGAAAGUUACGCUAAUACCGCAUAUUCUGUGAGCAGGAAAGCAGGGGAUCGCAAGACCUUGCGCUGAUUGAGCGGCCGAUAUCAGAUUAGCUAGUUGGUGAGGUAAAGGCUCACCAAGGCGACGAUCUGUAGCGGGUCUGAGAGGAUGAUCCGCCACACUGGAACUGAGACACGGUCCAGACUCCUACGGGAGGCAGCAGUGGGGAAUUUUGGACAAUGGGGGCAACCCUGAUCCAGCCAUGCCGCGUGAGUGAAGAAGGCCUUCGGGUUGUAAAGCUCUUUCGGCCGGGAAGAAAUCGUAUGGGUUAAUACCCUGUGCGGAUGACGGUACCGGCAUAAGAAGCACCGGCUAACUACGUGCCAGCAGCCGCGGUAAUACGUAGGGUGCGAGCGUUAAUCGGAAUUACUGGGCGUAAAGCGUGCGCAGGCGGUUUUGUAAGACAGGCGUGAAAUCCCCGGGCUCAACCUGGGAACUGCGCUUGUGACUGCAAGGCUAGAGUAUGGCAGAGGGGGGUGGAAUUCCACGUGUAGCAGUGAAAUGCGUAGAGAUGUGGAGGAACACCAAUGGCGAAGGCAGCCCCCUGGGCCAAUACUGACGCUCAUGCACGAAAGCGUGGGUAGCAAACAGGAUUAGAUACCCUGGUAGUCCACGCCCUAAACGAUGUCAACUAGGUGUUGGGUGGGUAAAACCAUUUAGUACCGGAGCUAACGCGUGAAGUUGACCGCCUGGGGAGUACGGCCGCAAGGUUAAAACUCAAAGGAAUUGACGGGGACCCGCACAAGCGGUGGAUGAUGUGGAUUAAUUCGAUGCAACGCGAAAAACCUUACCUACCCUUGACAUGUCCAGGAGCCUGAAGAGAUUUGGGUGUGCCCGAAAGGGAACUGGAACACAGGUGCUGCAUGGCUGUCGUCAGCUCGUGUCGUGAGAUGUUGGGUUAAGUCCCGCAACGAGCGCAACCCUUGUCGUUAAUUGCCAUCAUUUAGUUGGGCACUUUAACGAGACUGCCGGUGACAAACCGGAGGAAGGUGGGGAUGACGUCAAGUCCUCAUGGCCUUUAUGCCUAGGGCUUCACACGUCAUACAAUGGUCGGUACAAAGGGUUGCCUACCCGCGAGGGGGAGCCAAUCCCAGAAAGCCGAUCGUAGUCCGGAUCGCAGGCUGCAACUCGCCUGCGUGAAGUCGGAAUCGCUAGUAAUCGUGGAUCAGCAUGUCACGGUGAAUACGUUCCCGGGUCUUGUACACACCGCCCGUCACACCAUGGGAGCGGGUUCCGCCAGAAGUAGGUAGCCUAACCGCAAGGGGGGCGCUUACCACGGCGGGGUUCGUGAC